This 495-nucleotide ribosomal RNA is filed under the name uncultured bacterium. RNAcentral's name for it is "partial 16S ribosomal RNA". It matches the Rfam family "Bacterial small subunit ribosomal RNA", at positions 28 to 507 of the family's 1533-position model. The record is from RNAcentral.
GACGAACGCUGGCGGCGUGCCUAAUACAUGCAAGUAGAACGCUGAAGGAGGAGCUUGCUUCUCUGGAUGAGUUGCGAACGGGUGAGUAACGCGUAGGUAACCUGCCUGGUAGCGGGGGAUAACUAUUGGAAACGAUAGCUAAUACCGCAUAAUAGUAGAUGUUGCAUGACAUUUGCUUAAAAGGUGCAAUUGCAUCACUACCAGAUGGACCUGCGUUGUAUUAGCUAGUUGGUGGGGUAACGGCUCACCAAGGCGACGAUACAUAGCCGACCUGAGAGGGUGAGAGGCCACACUGGGACUGAGACACGGCCCAGACUCCUACGGGAGGCAGCAGUAGGGAAUCUUAGGCAAUGGACGGAAGUCUGACCGAGCAACGCCGCGUGAGUGAAGAAGGUUUUCGGAUCGUAAAGCUCUGUUGUAAGAGAAGAACGAGUGUGAGAGUGGAAAGUUCACACUGUGACGGUAUCUUACCAGAAAGGGACGGCUAACUACGUG